GUACGGGUUAAGUUCGUGCCAGCAGCCGCGGUAAGACGAACCGUACAAACGUUAUUCGGAAUUACUGGGCUUAAAGGGUGCGUAGGCGGCGCUGAAAGUUGGGUGUGAAAUGCCUCGGCUCAACCGAGGAAUGGCGCCCAAAACUACAGUGCUCGAGGGAGACAGAGGUGAGCGGAACUUAGGGUGGAGCGGUGAAAUGCGUUGAUAUCCUAAGGAACACCGGUGGCGAAAGCGGCUCACUGGGUCUCUUCUGACGCUGAGGCACGAAAGCUAGGGUAGCGAACGGGAUUAGAUACCCCGGUAGUCCUAGCCGUAAACGAUGAGCACUGGGUCGGAGGGUCCUCCAUAGCCUUCUGGCCGCAGCGAAAGUGUUUAGUGCUCCGCCUGGGGAGUAUGGUCGCAAGGCUGAAACUCAAAGG
This 419-nucleotide ribosomal RNA is filed under the name uncultured bacterium. RNAcentral's name for it is "bacterial SSU rRNA". It matches the Rfam family "Bacterial small subunit ribosomal RNA", at positions 490 to 907 of the family's 1533-position model. The record is from RNAcentral.